UACGUAGGGUGCAAGCGUUAAUCGGAAUUACUGGGCGUAAAGCGUGCGCAGGCGGUUAGGUAAGACAGAUGUGAAAUUCCCGGGCUCAACCUGGGAACUGCAUUUGUGACUGCCUGACUAGAGUGCGGCAGAGGGGAGUGGAAUUCCGCGUGUAGCAGUGAAAUGCGUAGAUAUGCGGAGGAACACCGAUGGCGAAGGCAACUCCCUGGGCCUGCACUGACGCUCAUGCACGAAAGCGUGGGGAGCAAACAGGAUUAGAUACCCUGGUAGUCCACGCCCUAAACGAUGUCGACUAGUUGUUGGACGGGUUACUGUUCAGUAACGAAGCUAACGCGUGAAGUCGACCGCCUGGGGAGUACGGCCGCAAGGUUAAA
RNAcentral lists this ribosomal RNA (374 nucleotides) under uncultured bacterium. Its description in RNAcentral is "bacterial SSU rRNA". It matches the Rfam family "Bacterial small subunit ribosomal RNA", at positions 524 to 898 of the family's 1533-position model. The record is from RNAcentral.